GAUGAACGCUCGCUACAGGCUUAACACAUGCAAGUCGCGGGGCAGCAUGGGGGUUGCUUGCAACCCCUGAUGGCGACCGGCGCACGGGUGAGUAACGCGUAUCCAACCUGCCCUUCACCACGGGAUAACCCGGCGAAAGUCGGACUAAUACCGUAUGUUGUCCAUUGACGGCAUCCGAUUUGGACGAAAGGCUUGGCGGUGGAAGGAGGGGGAUGCGUCCGAUUAGCUUGACGGCGGGGUAACGGCCCACCGUGGCUACGAUCGGUAGGGGUUCUGAGAGGAAGGUCCCCCACACUGGAACUGAGACACGGUCCAGACUCCUACGGGAGGCAGCAGUGAGGAAUAUUGGUCAAUGGGCGUAAGCCUGAACCAGCCAAGUAGCGUGCAGGAUGACGGCCCUAUGGGUUGUAAACUGCUUUUAUGCGGGGAUAAAGUGGCCCACGUGUGGGCUUUUGCAGGUACCGCAUGAAUAAGGACCGGCUAAUUCCAUG
Molecule: ribosomal RNA, 491 nt
Filed under: uncultured bacterium
Lineage: Bacteria
Description: partial 16S ribosomal RNA
Rfam family: Bacterial small subunit ribosomal RNA
Source: RNAcentral